This 252-nucleotide ribosomal RNA is filed under the name uncultured bacterium. RNAcentral describes it as "partial 16S ribosomal RNA". It matches the Rfam family "Bacterial small subunit ribosomal RNA", at positions 524 to 776 of the family's 1533-position model. The record is from RNAcentral.
UACGGGGGAGCAAGGCGUUGUUCGGAUUUACUGGGCGUAAAGGGCGCGUAGGCGGUCGUGACAAGUCACUUGUGAAAUCUCCGGGCUUAACUCGGAACGGUCAAGUGAUACUGUCGGACUAGAGUACAGAAGGGGCAACUGGAAUUCUCGGUGUAGCGGUGAAAUGCGUAGAUAUCGAGAGGAACACCUGCGGCGAAGGCGGGUUGCUGGCUGACACUGACGCUGAGGCGCGAAAGCUAGGGAGCGAACGGG